Molecule: long non-coding RNA, 798 nt
Organism: Strigops habroptila (Kakapo)
Lineage: Eukaryota; Metazoa; Chordata; Aves; Psittaciformes; Psittacidae
Exons: 2
Source: RefSeq, a predicted model, not a curated record
UCUCACAAUUACUGCUUUGCCAAAAGAAAGUUGCCUCCAUGGGCACACUACCAUUUCUCCUCUUUUCUUUCCUUCUCUUCAUGAUGUUAUCUGAACCAGGAGUACACCAGUACUGGUUGAUCUUCAAGAGCUGGGCUGGAUCCCUGGACAGACCUCACUGCAGCAUUUGCUCCCAGCUUGUCUGUCCUUCAUAUGCAGCCUGUGUGCGCACAUGCGCACGCGUGUGUCAGGGGGAAGGUUGUGAAGGAGAGAAAGAGGAAGAACCGCCCGUCAUGCUGAUUUUACAGAUACAUGACUGAAUCAAGCUUAACAGACUGAAGAGCUGUUCCUUACUUGUGGUAGUUUGGAGAAGGAAAUAUUUGCAGGAAUGAAGUGAGUGGAAAAGUCAUAUAUAAUCCAUAUUUUACCAAGCUCUGUAUGACAAGUUUUAUGUUUUAGCUUAAAUAUUAAAUUAUGAAGAGAAUAAUGAAUAAAUAAUUCUCUUUUGCUCUGCAGAUAGCAGUCAGGAAAUCUAGUCAUUCUGGGCUUCUAGUCUUCGUUUUAAAAAGAGUUUUUAGAAGUAUCCAUUGGAAUUAUUUAGGAAUUUCUUUAGAAAUUAUUUUCUCUGAAAAAUAUAGUGAAACUUAGGAAUUUUGUACACCAACUUGAAUGAGGUUUUUUCUGUCUAAAACAACAAAGUGAUUUUUACUGAUUGGGGUGGCUCUUUUGAUGCUGUUUGUACGUGUAGCCUGUAUGGGCAAUAGAGAAUGAAGCGAGCAGCCAAUCAGAGGAAAAUAAAGCUUAUAUUUUAGAAGUUUG